GGGUUGUGAGGUUAAGCGACUAAGCGUACACGGUGGAUGCCCUGGCAGUCAGAGGCGAUGAAGGACGUGCUAAUCUGCGAUAAGCGUCGGUAAGGUGAUAUGAACCGUUAUAACCGGCGAUUUCCGAAUGGGGAAACCCAGUGUGUUUCGACACACUAUCAUUAACUGAAUCCAUAGGUUAAUGAGGCGAACCGGGGGAACUGAAACAUCUAAGUACCCCGAGGAAAAGAAAUCAACCGAGAUUCCCCCAGUAGCGGCGAGCGAACGGGGAGCAGCCCAGAGCCUGAAUCAGUGUGUGUGUUAGUGGAAGCGUCUGGAAAGGCGCGCGAUACAGGGUGACAGCCCCGUACACAAAAAUGCACAUGCUGUGAGCUCGAUGAGUAGGGCGGGACACGUGGUAUCCUGUCUGAAUAUGGGGGGACCAUCCUCCAAGGCUAAAUACUCCUGACUGACCGAUAGUGAACCAGUACCGUGAGGGAAAGGCGAAAAGAACCCCGGCGAGGGGAGUGAAAAAGAACCUGAAACCGUGUACGUACAAGCAGUGGGAGCACGCUUAGGCGUGUGACUGCGUACCUUUUGUAUAAUGGGUCAGCGACUUAUAUUCUGUAGCAAGGUUAACCGAAUAGGGGAGCCGAAGGGAAACCGAGUCUUAACUGGGCGUUAAGUUGCAGGGUAUAGACCCGAAACCCGGUGAUCUAGCCAUGGGCAGGUUGAAGGUUGGGUAACACUAACUGGAGGACCGAACCGACUAAUGUUGAAAAAUUAGCGGAUGACUUGUGGCUGGGGGUGAAAGGCCAAUCAAACCGGGAGAUAGCUGGUUCUCCCCGAAAGCUAUUUAGGUAGCGCCUCGUGAAUUCAUCUCCGGGGGUAGAGCACUGUUUCGGCAAGGGGGUCAUCCCGACUUACCAACCCGAUGCAAACUGCGAAUACCGGAGAAUGUUAUCACGGGAGACACACGGCGGGUGCUAACGUCCGUCGUGAAGAGGGAAACAACCCAGACCGCCAGCUAAGGUCCCAAAGUCAUGGUUAAGUGGGAAACGAUGUGGGAAGGCCCAGACAGCCAGGAUGUUGGCUUAGAAGCAGCCAUCAUUUAAAGAAAGCGUAAUAGCUCACUGGUCGAGUCGGCCUGCGCGGAAGAUGUAACGGGGCUAAACCAUGCACCGAAGCUGCGGCAGCGACGCUGAUGCGUUGUUGGGUAGGGGAGCGUUCUGUAAGCCUGCGAAGGUGUGCUGUGAGGCAUGCUGGAGGUAUCAGAAGUGCGAAUGCUGACAUAAGUAACGAUAAAGCGGGUGAAAAGCCCGCUCGCCGGAAGACCAAGGGUUCCUGUCCAACGUUAAUCGGGGCAGGGUGAGUCGACCCCUAAGGCGAGGCCGAAAGGCGUAGUCGAUGGGAAACAGGUUAAUAUUCCUGUACUUGGUGUUACUGCGAAGGGGGGACGGAGAAGGCUAUGUUGGCCGGGCGACGGUUGUCCCGGUUUAAGCGUGUAGGCUGGUUUUCCAGGCAAAUCCGGAAAAUCAAGGCUGAGGCGUGAUGACGAGGCACUACGGUGCUGAAGCAACAAAUGCCCUGCUUCCAGGAAAAGCCUCUAAGCAUCAGGUAACAUCAAAUCGUACCCCAAACCGACACAGGUGGUCAGGUAGAGAAUACCAAGGCGCUUGAGAGAACUCGGGUGAAGGAACUAGGCAAAAUGGUGCCGUAACUUCGGGAGAAGGCACGCUGAUAUGUAGGUGAAGUCCCUCGCGGAUGGAGCUGAAAUCAGUCGAAGAUACCAGCUGGCUGCAACUGUUUAUUAAAAACACAGCACUGUGCAAACACGAAAGUGGACGUAUACGGUGUGACGCCUGCCCGGUGCCGGAAGGUUAAUUGAUGGGGUCAGCGCAAGCGAAGCUCUUGAUCGAAGCCCCGGUAAACGGCGGCCGUAACUAUAACGGUCCUAAGGUAGCGAAAUUCCUUGUCGGGUAAGUUCCGACCUGCACGAAUGGCGUAAUGAUGGCCAGGCUGUCUCCACCCGAGACUCAGUGAAAUUGAACUCGCUGUGAAGAUGCAGUGUACCCGCGGCAAGACGGAAAGACCCCGUGAACCUUUACUAUAGCUUGACACUGAACAUUGAGCCUUGAUGUGUAGGAUAGGUGGGAGGCUUUGAAGUGUGGACGCCAGUCUGCAUGGAGCCGACCUUGAAAUACCACCCUUUAAUGUUUGAUGUUCUAACGUUGACCCGUAAUCCGGGUUGCGGACAGUGUCUGGUGGGUAGUUUGACUGGGGCGGUCUCCUCCUAAAGAGUAACGGAGGAGCACGAAGGUUGGCUAAUCCUGGUCGGACAUCAGGAGGUUAGUGCAAUGGCAUAAGCCAGCUUGACUGCGAGCGUGACGGCGCGAGCAGGUGCGAAAGCAGGUCAUAGUGAUCCGGUGGUUCUGAAUGGAAGGGCCAUCGCUCAACGGAUAAAAGGUACUCCGGGGAUAACAGGCUGAUACCGCCCAAGAGUUCAUAUCGACGGCGGUGUUUGGCACCUCGAUGUCGGCUCAUCACAUCCUGGGGCUGAAGUAGGUCCCAAGGGUAUGGCUGUUCGCCAUUUAAAGUGGUACGCGAGCUGGGUUUAGAACGUCGUGAGACAGUUCGGUCCCUAUCUGCCGUGGGCGCUGGAGAACUGAGGGGGGCUGCUCCUAGUACGAGAGGACCGGAGUGGACGCAUCACUGGUGUUCGGGUUGUCAUGCCAAUGGCACUGCCCGGUAGCUAAAUGCGGAAGAGAUAAGUGCUGAAAGCAUCUAAGCACGAAACUUGCCCCGAGAUGAGUUCUCCCUGACUCCUUGAGAGUCCUGAAGGAACGUUGAAGACGACGACGUUGAUAGGCCGGGUGUGUAAGCGCAGCGAUGCGUUGAGCUAACCGGUACUAAUGAACCGUGAGGCUUAACCUUACAACGCCGAAGGUGUUU
RNAcentral lists this ribosomal RNA (2931 nucleotides) under Escherichia coli. RNAcentral describes it as "23S ribosomal RNA". It matches the Rfam family "Bacterial large subunit ribosomal RNA". The record is from RNAcentral. Lineage: Bacteria; Pseudomonadati; Pseudomonadota; Gammaproteobacteria; Enterobacterales; Enterobacteriaceae.